Physeter macrocephalus (sperm whale) is the source of this 1007-nucleotide long non-coding RNA. RefSeq lists it as uncharacterized. The record is from RefSeq and is a predicted model, not a curated record. Lineage: Eukaryota; Metazoa; Chordata; Mammalia; Artiodactyla; Physeteridae. The transcript has 3 exons.
GUGGCUGUGCUGGGAAGGGCCGGGAGAUCAACAUGGCCCACCGUGCAGGGUGGCAGCAGAGGGUCCCCGAGCAUCUGUGGGAUCUGGAGGUGGCUGGAGGAUGGGCCGCAUGGGGGCUGGGCACCACCUCCUGGAUAGAGCGGAAGGCCUGCUUUCCACAUGGCGCCCACGUGGCACUUGGCACAGGGCAGAGCUCAGCUGAAAGACGCUGGUGACAAAGACUUCGCAAAAACAAACCAAAGCUCGCCAGGCCCUCCUCUCCUCCAGCGACUCACCCAGGGAAGCAGUAGAGUGUUCCCCUCAGAACGUGCACCCACAGAGAAGGACGUCCCAGACUGCGUCACAUCCCUCCCUCUUGGGUGUGGCCAUAAUGACCCGUGCUGUCUCAUCCUGGACCCUGGACAGAUGCACAUGGAGAUGUGCACAGAACGCAUGGGUAGUGGGCAGCGUACUCUGCUCUCUAUCUGCUUUAGCUUAUUGACACCAUAUAACCAACCUUCCUGUGACGUCAAGACAUCAUCCCCACUUCACAGACAAGGAAGCUGAGGCUCAGAGGGGUGAAACCCAAAAGAGUAUAAACCUACUGGGACUUCCCUGGUGGUGCAGUGGUUAAGAAUCUGCCUGCCAGUGCAGGGGACAUGGGUUCGAUCCCUGGUCCUGGAAGAUCCCACAUGCUGCGGAGCAACUAAGCCCGUGCGCCACAGCUACUGAGCCUGUGCUCUAGAGCCCGUGAGCCACAACUCCUGAGCCCGUGAGCCACAACUACUGAAGCCCACGUGCCUAGAGCCUGUGCUCUGCAACAAGAGAAGCCACCACAAUGAGAAGUCCACGCACCGCAAAGAAGAGUAGCCCCCGCUCGCCGCAACUAGAGAAAGCCCGCGCGCAGCAACGAAGACGCAACGCAGCCAAAAAUAAAUAAAUAAAAGAAAUAAAUUUAUGAAAAAGAAAAAAAAAGACCCAAUGCAGCCAAAAAUAAAUAAAUAAAUAAAUAAAUAUAAACCUGGCAA